This 253-nucleotide ribosomal RNA is filed under the name uncultured bacterium. Its description in RNAcentral is "partial 16S ribosomal RNA". It matches the Rfam family "Bacterial small subunit ribosomal RNA", at positions 524 to 776 of the family's 1533-position model. The record is from RNAcentral.
UACGUAGGGCGCAAGCGUUGUCCGGAAUUAUUGGGCGUAAAGAGCUCGUAGGCGGUUUGUCGCGUCUGUCGUGAAAGCCCACGGCUUAACUGUGGAAGUGCAUCCGAAACUGCAUGGCUGGAGUCCCGGAGAGGAAGGUGGAAUGCUUGGUGUAGAGGUGAAAUUCGUAGAUAUCAAGCAGAACACCUGCGGCGAAGGCGGCCUUCUGGACGGUGACUGACGCUGAGACGCGAAAGCGUGGGGAGCAAACAGG